AACCAUUUUGAAUUCUCCACAGCAAGUGUGUGUAUUAAAUAGUAAAGAGUAAAAAUGAUCGUUAGAACCUGAGAAAAAAUAAUUUAUUAGGACCAGUGCACCAAGUUUAAGCUGGUACUGAUGUUUUUUUCUCUACUGACGAGUUUCUGGUUGGUGCAUGGCGGAGACUCUCUACAAAUGACGAACCUGGACAACGGCACUUUUCAACAGCAAACAAAACGAAGCUCAUCGCAGUAUAGCACCCCUUACACUAAUGAGAUUAGACAUCCAAUGGUUGAUGGUAAAGAAAUUCACAUCGAAGGAGCUGUUGGUAGAAAGGGCCGCAGGUUAUAACGGCUAUUUUAAAAAGGAAUGUACAUAUUAUUUAGCAAAAAUAAAAAUUUGAAUUCUAAAUGAAAUUGUCAUGUCUAAGUAGGCUAGAUUACAAAACGGUUUACGUUAAUUGCCUUAAGUAACAAGCUAUUAAUUACUCGGUAUCUAGGCAGAUAGUUAAACUUUGUAAGAUUUUUCAAACAUGUAUAAUCCUCUUAAUUGCCUAAAAGUCAAAAAAAAAGUUAACCAAAUCUCUAUCUAGAUUGAUUAUUGAACUGUGUGAAAAACAAAACUGUCUUGUGGACAUCGAAUUUCACGCCGAUAUUCGAUUUAAUACUAGGACACUCGUCAUGAAUUAUAAGAGAAACUUACAAUUUGGACAAGCAACUAUUAGAGAGGGAAUACCAUUGACAUCUGAAGGUCCAAUUCAAAUAAAAAUAGUAAUAAACCCCCAAGAAUUCAAGAUAUAUCUCAACAACUUACCGUAUACUUUUACAACUGUGGUUAGAUGGACAAAGUUAAAGUAUAUGAGGAUUCGUGGGACGCCUCAAAUUAAUUGGAUCUUGUAUUCAUACAACCAAC
Molecule: long non-coding RNA, 894 nt
Organism: Physella acuta
Lineage: Eukaryota; Metazoa; Mollusca; Gastropoda; Physidae
Source: RefSeq, a predicted model, not a curated record